GACGAACGCUGGCGGCGUGCUUAACACAUGCAAGUCGAACGGAAAGGCCCUGCUUUUGUGGGGUGCUCGAGUGGCGAGCGGGUGAGUAACACGUGAGUAACCUGCCCUUGACUUUGGGAUAACUUCAGGAAACUGGGGCUAAUACCGGAUAGGAGCUCCUGCUGCAUGGUGGGGGUUGGAAAGUUUCGGCGGUUGGGGAUGGACUCGCGGCUUAUCAGCUUGUUAGUGGGGUAGUGGCUUACCAAGGCUUUGACGGGUAGCCGGCCUGAGAGGGUGACCGGCCACAUUGGGACUGAGAUACGGCCCAGACUCCUACGGGAGGCAGCAGUGGGGAAUAUUGCACAAUGGGCGGAAGCCUGAUGCAGCAACGCCGCGUGCGGGAUGACGGCCUUCGGGUUGUAAACCGCUUUCGCCUGUGACGAAGCGUGAGUGACGGUAAUGGGUAAAGAAGCACCGGCUAACUACGUG
This 468-nucleotide ribosomal RNA is filed under the name uncultured bacterium. Its description in RNAcentral is "partial 16S ribosomal RNA". It matches the Rfam family "Bacterial small subunit ribosomal RNA", at positions 28 to 507 of the family's 1533-position model. The record is from RNAcentral.